Molecule: ribosomal RNA, 301 nt
Filed under: uncultured bacterium
Lineage: Bacteria
Description: partial 16S ribosomal RNA
Rfam family: Bacterial small subunit ribosomal RNA
Source: RNAcentral
CAGUCGCCACGGUAAUACGUAGGUGGCAAGCGUUGUCCGGAAUUAUUGGGCGUAAAGCGCGCGCAGGCGGCCUAUCCAGUCUGUCUUAAAAGUUCGGGGCUCAACCCCGUGAUGGGAUGGAAACUAGUAGGCUAGAGUAUCGGAGAGGAAGGCGGAAUUCCUAGUGUAGCGGUGAAAUGCGUAGAUAUUAGGAAGAACACCAGUGGCGAAGGCGGCUUUCUGGACGAAAACUGACGCUGAGGCGCGAAAGCCAGGGGAGCGAACGGGAUUAGAGACCCGCGUAGUCCCUGUCUCUUAUACA